UUCCUUUUCCAGGGGAUUUUCCUGACCCAGGAAUCAAACCCAGGUUUUCCUGCAUUGCAGUGGACUCCUGGAUGGCUAACGGAGCUGUGGUUGCUACCAGUGUCCAACAUAACCAUAAAGUAUCGGACUGCAUAUCCAUUGCCUGGGAAAAGAUCAAAACUCAAAACUCGGAAGUAUGGUUUCUACAUAUUGCUUUCAAACCAUGGAAGAAUUGAAAGUGGAACCAUUGUAGUCCAGGACUGUCUGUAGUUAAAAGCAGGAAUUAAUUCCACACUGAGCCCAGAUUCUGACUCUGCCUUUUAAUUGUUCUGUGACGUUCGCCAAUGUAGCCUAUAUAUUUCACUUUUACUCAUCUGCAAAAUAGCAAUGAUAAACUUAUUGAUUAUGAGAAAAACAGGUUAGCACAUGUCAAAUGCUUAGAACAGGGCCUGGCUUGGUGUUGGGCACUAGUAUUCACAUAUUAUUGUUUUAUUUGCUUUAGUAAUAGGCAAUGUAACUCCUACACAGGCUCCAUUCCACUUUUGUCUCCUCUCAAGUGUGUUUUCCUAACAGUGAUACAUUAUAGUCUCAAUUUAUACCUCUUGUAAUAGGUGUACUCAAUAAUUACUUCUAUUACUUGUGGAGCUUCUUAUGUCCUAAGAAUGAUUCAAGAGCUGGCAUAAGCAGGGUGGACAAACUCCUGACCCUUAAAAAACUGUAUAUUCUCUUUGGAGGAGAUUAACAAUUAAAACAUACACAAAUAAAACAGUUUCACAUACUAAAUGUUAUCUGAGGAGUCUAUUUAAUAGGGCUAGCUGCUGGAAGAGGUCACUAUGUAGAGGUGACAUCUGAGUUAAGUAAAUCAUUCAUGAUUAGAAGGAUCAGCCAGAAUAUCAUCUGCAGGAGAGGAAAAGUCUUUCAAGAAGAAGGACCCAUGUGAACCAAGACUGAGCCUCGGCCAUCUCAGGUUCUGGAGCGGAGCUGCUGCCCUGCGCUGGUGUGUGGAGGACGCUGGAGGUCCAGGCCGGUAGCCAGGCGGGCGUCACUGGAGACAGGCGGCUUCUGCCAUGGUUCCAAGAUGGUGGUUUCGGUUCCCAGCAAGAAGACGGAGGAAGCCCGAGGGGAAAACAGGGCAUGCCAGUGUGAGGCUACCUCUUUUUAAAGAGCUUUCUCCGCAGUCCAACAACUUUUGCUCACAUCUCAUUGGCCAGAUGGUGUCCUUGGCCCCUGCUAUCUCUAAAGAUGCCUGAGAAAUGUAGUUUUUGUAGGUGGACAUGUAACCACCUUCAACAAAAAUCUGAGUUCUCUUCAUAAGGAAGAAGGUAACGGUGUAUCUUGGGUGAACAACUUGUAGUCUGUGCCCUGAAUACAAAAUACAGUGGUAAAGAGGCAUAAUGUCUGAGAUGGUUCAAAACGGCAGCUCCUUCACAACUGGCAGCACACCAAGCAGACUGCUGUGUCCGAGAGUGACCAGAGUGAAGACAGGCCAGGUUUUCUCGUGAAACACUCACAGCACUGACUGCUGUCUCAGCCGGUGUACCUGUCCCCACCAGGCGUCUCCAGACAGGACCCUGGGAACCAACUCUUGGACUUUCUCGGAGGACGUGCUUGCUUCUUGUAGGCUUGAAAUGAGAUGAGGAAUGUUGUACCUUGCUGCUUCCACAUCUGCGUUGUUUAUCUUUUCUCUAAUCUUCCUAAAACAUUUUUGGUGCAGUCUAGUUGUGUAUUUGAUCCCCAUAAAAGGAUCACUCUUUUCAUGUACAGGCGAGGGUAAUCUAUGUAAAGAAAGGCUACUUUACUCCCUGCUGUGUCUCCACCACCUCAUCUAGGAAUAUCAUAGAAGAAUUGCUUCUCGGAGCUGCCUCCAUAAACAGCCUACAUCCUGACUGAGCAAAGAGAGAAGAAACACUUCCCACAUCCAGGGCUGUGCAAAAGAACUUUCUGUGAUGACAGAAAUGUUCUGUAUCUGCAGUGUCUAAUACAGUAGCCACCAGCCACCUGUGGCUAGUGAACGACUGAAAUGUCACUACUGUGAUUGAGGAAGUAAAUUUUAAUGUUAUUUAAUUUUAAAUACCUUAAAUGUAAAUAGCCACAUGUGGCUAGUGACUAGUGUUGUAGACAAACCUUUCUUGUGUUUUAGAACUUGCUGGGUGUGUGUGUGGGUGGGUGGGGGGGGGGGGGUGGUUGAAUAAGUUGUAUGCUUGGCAUUCCAUGGUCUUCACUAUUCCACCUUGCCAUCAAACUUGUCUCCCAGACACAGAGGAAAACUGGUAUUUUGGAACUAAAUUCAGAUGUUACUUGACAUUUACACAUUGAACAUAUGUAUUUGUAUGUGUUCCUGUGUGAAUAGAAUGGUCUUCUGGGAAUAGGUCCUGUGAUUGAUUUUCGUGAUAACUGAUGAUGGGAAAGUGGUGGUGCUGGUCACUUUACUUUCCUAGUGAACAUUAUGUGUUCCUUGUCAUAGUCAGUAGAGAUUCUGUUGCGCAGUUCAUUCUGUUACUUUAUUUUUGUAAUACUGUGGCUGCUAAAUGAUUAUUCCAUGUCGUUUCCCAAAAUACUUUGUGGUUUAUAUUUUUUAAAAGGCUAUGAAAUAAAAAAUAGUAGAUCA
Molecule: long non-coding RNA, 2587 nt
Organism: Cervus elaphus (red deer)
Lineage: Eukaryota; Metazoa; Chordata; Mammalia; Artiodactyla; Cervidae
Exons: 3
Source: RefSeq, a predicted model, not a curated record